UGUUGUUAUUGUUAAUUUGGGGUUUUGUUCACAAUAUGCAUCAGAUGCUGAAGAAAGGGGAAAACAUUAUACAAAUUACAUAUUCCACUUAAUGUUAGAAUCUAAAUUAUAUGCAUGGGGGUGGAGUUCACUUUAUCAUCUGGAAUGGUUUGGUCAAUUUCUUUCUAGUGAUUAUGGAACUCUUUGAAGAGAUUGCGUGUGGUUUCUAAACUUGAUGAAAUACACAUAAUAUCAUCUACAAACAGGAGCAUCUUUCAAAAGUCUACAUUCAUACAAUAUUCUUUUUCCUGUAUUUUGCACAAAAUGUCCUCCAUGACACAGCCAUCUCGGAAGAAUGUUUUUCCAUGUUUAUCAGAGACUUAGAGGCAGCAUCACCUGGUGAAAAGAAAAUUGGCCCAGGAAUCAGAAAAUCCAGAUUCAAGCCCCACUUCUGGAUAUACAUAGAUUCAAAUCAGGAAUGCAUUCCUUCUAAAGUCUAGCUCCAUAUUCUCCCAGGAAGAUUUUCCAUAUUCCCCCAAUGGACCACUGAUCUCUUUUAUCAUUCCUCACUUCCAUAUUCCUCUCCCUGGCUAAUCAACCUGGUCCCAGUGCAUCCAACUCCAUAAGAUUGGGACAAGGAUCAGGAAGAAGGAAUUUAACAAUGGCAGAGCUGUGACAAGUUAAUUCAACUCCUGCUGUUAAAUUAACCAGCGUUCCAGCCGAGUUAACGCGUCACCCGGUUUCAAAAGGUUAAGCUCCAAGCUUAAUCUUAUUCAUCAUUAUGAACUCUUCAAAUUGGCUGAAAUAUUUAAAAUUCAGCGAAAUGAAAGGACCGCAGGAAACAUUUAAGAGCCAACUACCCUGUCUUCAAAAAAAAUGGAGGCAUAAUCGACAAAGAUUAGGAAAGUAAGGCUACAGAAUGGGUGAAUGGAGACACUUGAGAACCAGUUUAGGGUGAUUAAUAAAAGGACAUUGAAGACAAGGACAUCUGUAUCUUCUUACUAUCUUGAAGAGAUCCGGGUGUUUGAAUGAAAGUUAAUGGAGGACUCUUAGAAGGCUUGUCCUAUCUCAUCAUAAGCAAUAGACCAAAACUGAAUGCUAAUGAAAAGAGCGUGAACAGUGACACCCACUGAGUUCCACUUUCUCUCUUGGGUUCAGGGCACAGAUGGGAGAUAGGUCACACUGUGCCCCCUCCCUUACUUGUGACUGUCUAGAAGGGAUAAUCAUAUGCUGUAUUCAGACUUCUGGGGGGAGCAGUUAUUCACACCUUGAGUCUUGAAACUAGGCACAGUAAGAACUGUUGGAUGACAACUAAUAAUUAAAAAAAAAA
Long non-coding RNA from Sarcophilus harrisii (Tasmanian devil), 1309 nucleotides. RefSeq lists it as uncharacterized. The transcript has 4 exons. Lineage: Eukaryota; Metazoa; Chordata; Mammalia; Dasyuromorphia; Dasyuridae. The record is from RefSeq and is a predicted model, not a curated record.